Molecule: ribosomal RNA, 170 nt
Filed under: uncultured eukaryote
Lineage: Eukaryota
Description: partial small subunit ribosomal RNA
Rfam family: Eukaryotic small subunit ribosomal RNA
Source: RNAcentral
GUACACACCGCCCGUCGCUACUACCGAUUGAAUGGUUAUAGUGAGCAUAUGGGAUCAGUAGAAUUAGGUUGGCAACAACCUUUCUCUGCAGAGAACUAUGGCAAACUAGGCUAUUUAGAGGAAGUAAAAGUCGUAACAAGGUUUCCGUAGGUGAACCUGCAGAAGGAUCA